GCAGUCGAACGGAGAUAAGAAAWUAGUUUACUAAUUUCUUAUCUUAGUGGCGGACGGGUGAGUAACGCGUGGGUAACCUACCCUAAAUCCCGGGACAACAGCUGGAAACGGCUGCUAAUACCGGAUACUCUCUUAAAGCGGCAUCGCUUUAAGAGGAAAGGUGGCCUCUUCUAUGCUACCGAUAAAGGAUGGAUCCGCGUCUGAUUAGCUAGUUGGUAAGGUAACGGCUUACCAAGGCGACGAUCAGUAGCCGGCCUGAGAGGGUGACCGGCCACACUGGGACUGAGACACGGCCCAGACUCCUACGGGAGGCAGCAGUGGGGAAUCUUCCGCAAUGGGCGAAAGCCUGACGGAGCAACGCCGCGUGAAUGAAGAAGGCCUUCGGGUCGUAAAGUUCUGUUGAAAGGGAAGAAGUCUCUCUAUGUGAACAAUGCAGAGAGGUGACGGUACCUUUUGAGGAAGCUCCGGCUAACUACGUGCCAGCAGCCGCGGUAAUACGUAGGGAGCAAGCGUUGUCCGGAAUUACUGGGCGUAAAGGGCGCGUAGGCGGGAUAUUAAGUUAGGUGUGAAAACUCCGGGCUCAACUUGGAGAGUGCACAUAAAACUGGUAUUCUUGAGGACAGGAGAGGAAAGUGGAAUUCCUAGUGUAGCGGUGAAAUGCGUAGAUAUUAGGAGGAACACCAGUGGCGAAGGCGACUUUCUGGACUGUAACUGACGCUGAGGCGCGAAAGCGUGGGGAGUGAACGGGAUUAGAUACCCCGGUAAUCCACGCUGUAAACGAUGGGUACUAGGUGUAGGAGGUAUCGACCCCUUCUGUGCCGGA
Molecule: ribosomal RNA, 823 nt
Filed under: uncultured Clostridia bacterium
Lineage: Bacteria; Bacillati; Bacillota; Clostridia
Description: bacterial SSU rRNA
Rfam family: Bacterial small subunit ribosomal RNA
Source: RNAcentral